CCUACGGGUGACAGCAGUGAGGAAUAUUGGUCAAUGGCCGGAAGGCUGAACCAGCCAAGCCGCGUGAAGGACGAAGGUGCCAAGCAUUGUAAACUUCUUUUGUCAAGGGACAAAAUCAGGCUCGAGAGCCUGACCGAGGGUACUUGAAGAAAAAGCAUCGGCUAACUCCGUGCCAGCAGCCGCGGUAAUACGGAGGAUGCGAGCGUUAUCCGGAUUUAUGGGGUGUAAAGGGUGCGUAGGCGGACUGUUAAGUCAGCGGUAAAAGCCCGGGGCUCAACCCCGGCGAGCCGUUGAAAGUGGCUGUCUUGAGAUGUCGAGAGGUAUGCGGAAUUCGCAGUGUAGCGGUGAAAUGCUUAGAUAUUGCGCAGAACUCCGAUUGCGAAGGCAGCAUACCGGCGGGGAUCUGACGCUGAGGCACGAAAGCGUGGGUAUCGAACAGGAUUAGAUACCCGUGUAGUC
This 459-nucleotide ribosomal RNA is filed under the name uncultured bacterium. RNAcentral's name for it is "partial 16S ribosomal RNA". It matches the Rfam family "Bacterial small subunit ribosomal RNA", at positions 338 to 795 of the family's 1533-position model. The record is from RNAcentral.